This 481-nucleotide ribosomal RNA is filed under the name uncultured Acaulospora. RNAcentral's name for it is "SSU rRNA". It matches the Rfam family "Eukaryotic small subunit ribosomal RNA", at positions 569 to 1053 of the family's 1831-position model. The record is from RNAcentral. Lineage: Eukaryota; Fungi; Glomeromycota; Glomeromycetes; Diversisporales; Acaulosporaceae.
AGCAGCCGCGGUAAUUCCAGCUCCAAUAGCGUAUAUUAAAGUUGUUGCAGUUAAAAAGCUCGUAGUUGAAUUUCGGAAUCUGUCCAUUGGUCGGGCUUCACUGUCCGUACUGGUGUGGUGGGUUCUUACCUUCUGAAUAACCAGCAUGCCAUUUAUUUGGUGCGUUGGGGAAGCAGGACUAUUACCUUGAAAAAUUAGAGUGCUCAAAGCAGGCUAGUGCCUGAAUACAUUAGCAUGGAAUAAUAAAAUAGGACGGCAUGGUUCUAUUUUGUUGGUUUCUAGGAUCACCGUAAUGAUUAAUAGGGAUAGUUGGGGGCAUUAGUAUUCAAUUGUCAGAGGUGAAAUUCUUGGAUUUAUUGAAGACUAACUUCUGCGAAAGCAUUUGCCAAGGAUGUUUUCAUUAAUCAAGAACGAAAGUUAGGGGAUCGAAGACGAUCAGAUACCGUCGUAGUCUUAACCAUAAACUAUGCCGACUAGGGAU